RNAcentral lists this long non-coding RNA (2505 nucleotides) under Bos taurus (domestic cattle). Lineage: Eukaryota; Metazoa; Chordata; Mammalia; Artiodactyla; Bovidae. The record is from RNAcentral.
ACAUGGACUUAAAAGUGAUGAGUCGUGGUGGUGGCAUCCGUGUCACUGCCACAGCCUCCUUGAAGUGCUCCUGGGACAACGCGUUGCUUUCCACUGAGGGACCAGAAGCCAGUGGCCAGCUUCUGUUGGGGGUGUGUGACUGUUCCCUGAACACAUACUUAUUGAUUAGAUCUUGUACCUGAUCCUCUAACUCCUGGCCUCCCAUCUCUCCACAGAAGGGUCCACAGAGGUGAUGCUCACGUGGGGAAGUAGCCACGGUGCAACCGUCACAGGAUUCGAGGGGCUACCAUGAUGGGCUGACGUGACGACGGCAGUGAGACGGCAGCCCUCCUGGUCCAGGAGGACGAGCGGGAGUCACCCCUGCUUAGGGAUCCUGUCCGUCCCAGUGGCCACCCCCAGGCUGCCCGGGCCGUGUGGAUGCGGGAACGCCACCAGCAGCACUGCCUCACGGUACUUGGAGGGAGGUCGUCCGUGGUGAGUUCGCAUUAUUUAAUGAUGCCCAAUACGCGGUCGAUCUCUUUUCGGUAUCACAUUGCACCGGGCAUCUACUCAGAGUUCAUGGGGACUCCAGGGAAGACACACUCAUGUGGGUUCCACGCCAGUAUACCUGAACAUGCAGUUGGCCCUGGAACUACCAGACAGGUGCCGCCAGCAUCCCUAUCAUUCAGUCAAUCCAUGGAUGACCAUGUGAUUUAGGUUUAAGACCCAAGUGAUUGGGGCAAUAGGGAUGUCCAUGAUGCUUCUGGGGAUUCUGGCUUUUCUAAAAGAAAAACAAACCAAAACCCAGUGGAUAGUUCCCUUCUGUUUUAGUAUUAUAUCUUGUCCUGGAGUGGAGGACCUCUGAGCCAUGCUGGCAAAGUCACGGUGGGGGAACCAGUAUUAGUAUAUUUUCUGGGCUAAGAAGGGACAAAUCAUCGUAUCUGUUGACCUGGAAGUCCUACCAAAUUUGAGGGCAGAGGGCAGUGCUAGUUUCAAUUUCUUGUUUUUCAUUUAAGAAUGACUAAUUAUUUUACAUUGUUACCAUACAUAUAAAAAAGGGUUGCAAAGAAUUGGACAUAAAAAUGACACAUACUUAACAGUAAAAAUUCAAGCAGUGUGGGAAAAUAUAAGUAAAAAAGGGAGAUAAUAUCCAAUCUCUGCAACCCAGAAGUAACCAUCAGGGCUUUAGAAAUUUCUAAAUACUUGCCCGAGCAUAUAUCCAAAUAGAAAGAUAGACAAAGUGAGACACAAAUAUUUUACCAAUAUGUAAUUUUUGUUAAAAUGUUAACUGUAGUUUUACUAAAGUUUUUUGUUAAAAACGUCAACCACCAUUUUAACACAAAGAAUAUGCUUAAGAAAAUUAGAAGAAUUAAUAAAUAUUUCUUGCUCUUCUGAAAGAAGUACUAAUUUCUAAAAGAUCCCUAUAAGAUUAAGAAAAAUCAUUGUGUAAAACAUGAAAUAGUUGGGAUCAUUACAUAUUUUUUAACUGUUUUAAUUUCACUCGAGGUUCUGAAAGAUAAGGAAAUCAGCUCUACCUCCUGCUUUUUUUAAAGCUAUACUGUACAAUAUAAUUUUCUCAUUAUAAAUAUUUGCAUUGUGUUCUAUAAUCACAAUUCUUAUAGAUGUUAAAUCAUUGUUCUAUAUUUAAAUGGAUUCAUUGCUGACAAUUAGUGUUUUUCCCCCCUUAAACUAAACCUUUCUUCCUAAGUUUUAAUUCCUAUCUCAGAAUAAUUGCUUUUAAUUUUAAUUCAUAUCAGAAUAACUGUUUCAUCAAGAAUGGCUCAUUAACACUGCUCAGUCCUUGCACGUCUGGGGAUACCUGCCUCUUGUUUAUAUCCACAAGGGACAACUUAGCUAGGCAUAACAUUCCUAGUCUACUUUUUUUCCCCUCGGAACUUUGUAGAUGCUGCUCCAUUGUCUUCUGCACUUAGUAUCAUAAUAGCUUUUAAACUAUGAAUUCUCUACACACCUCUUGCUUAGCUAGAUACACAUCCUGUGGACCUUCAUACACUUUGUUAGAAAGGCUUUGGGUCACUGUCUUCUGUGAGGUCUUCAUCUCUGAGAAUGUCUAACCAUGACUGUUACACUUGUACUCAUCUGCUUGUUUUUUUCAUACUCUUCUAUGCUUUUCAGUUCUUUUUACACUUAGACAUUUUGACAAUACUUACAGUUCAUUUCUCUCAGGUUUAAGGGUGUAAGUGCUAGUCUUUGGUGAGUUGGUUGACUCAGAAUAAUACUUUCCUUCACGGGUUCUGUAACUCUUUUCUGUGAGGUUAUUCAUCAGGGGGAUUAAUGUUUGUGUGGUUUGUUGUGCCCUUGACAACACUGUGGUUCUGCAUUUGGGUUUGUGUGGCAUCAGGCUUCCAACAGUCAGGACUCAUUUGUUGGCCUCAGGAGCCCCAUACCUUAUAUCUGGUAUAAAUCCUCGCCACAUCUUGGUCCAGGAACUUGGCUUCUCACAGGGGAGCACAUUCUACCCACAACUUGCAUGGAAAUAAACUCUCUUGUCCUCUCUCAAAAAAAAAA